UUAAUUUUGAACGAGUGGCGGACGGGUGAGUAACACGUGGGUAACCUGCCCUUAAGUGGGGGAUAACAUUUGGAAACAGAUGCUAAUACCGCAUAAAUCCAAGAACCGCAUGGUUCUUGGCUGAAAGAUGGCGUAAGCUAUCGCUUUUGGAUGGACCCGCGGCGUAUUAGCUAGUUGGUGAGGUAACGGCUCACCAAGGCAAUGAUACGUAGCCGAACUGAGAGGUUGAUCGGCCACAUUGGGACUGAGACACGGCCCAAACUCCUACGGGAGGCAGCAGUAGGGAAUCUUCCACAAUGGACGCAAGUCUGAUGGAGCAACGCCGCGUGAGUGAAGAAGGCUUUCGGGUCGUAAAACUCUGUUGUUGGAGAAGAAUGGUCGGCAGAGUAACUGUUGUCGGCGUGACGGUAUCCAACCAGAAAGCCACGGCUAACUACGUGCCAGC
This 445-nucleotide ribosomal RNA is filed under the name Lacticaseibacillus rhamnosus. Its description in RNAcentral is "bacterial SSU rRNA". It matches the Rfam family "Bacterial small subunit ribosomal RNA", at positions 80 to 512 of the family's 1533-position model. The record is from RNAcentral. Lineage: Bacteria; Bacillati; Bacillota; Bacilli; Lactobacillales; Lactobacillaceae.